CAUAUUUAUUAGAUAAUCUAGCCCGAAAAAUAAAGAUCUACGCUAUUUUAAUUUUUAGAAACAAAUGUAUAAUGUAGCAUCAUUAUAAGUAAAAAAUUGCGUAGGGGUGAAACACUUUCAAUUUAUUUGAUAUCUGGAUUAAACUGAAAUGAAUUUAGUUCAUUAAAUAAUCACAAAGUUAUAAGAUUUUGUGAAGUAAGAAUAAAAAUUCAAUGAGGCUUUCAAAGAAAUAAAUUUUCAGAUUGACUAGAGAUAAAAAUAUUUAUAUUUAUGUUAAUCUGUGUUAUUAAGUUUAUGUCUAUAAAAAUUUUAGGAUGGAUUAAUAAUGCUUAAAUCAGUAAACUAAUCAAAUUAACUAAAGGAACUCGGCAAAUAUAAUCUUCAACUAGUUUAUCAAAAACAUAGCUUUUAGAAAAUAUAUUUAAAGUUUAAUCUGCCCAGUGAUAAUUUAACGGCCGCAGUACAUUGACUGUGCUAAGGUAGCAUAAUAAGUUGACUUUUAAAUGGAGUCGGGUAUGAAUGGAUAGCUGGGGAUUUCCUGUCUCAAGUUAUUUAUGUUUAAAUUACUAAAAAGGUGAAAAUUCCUUUAUUGUUCAUGUUAGACGAGAAGACCCUGAGAAUUAUAACUAAAAAUUUGUCUAUUUAAGUUUUUGUUGGGGCAACAAAUUAGGUUAACCGAUUUAUUAACAUAAUUUCAUGUAAUGACUUUAUAGAAUGAAAUAAAUUACCUCAGGGAUAACAGCAUAAUUAUUUUAAUAGAUUGUGACCUCGAUGUUGGACUAAGGGCUUUAUUAAAUAGCCUUUAAUAAAGAUAGUUCUGUUCGAACUGAAAACCUUACAU
RNAcentral lists this ribosomal RNA (841 nucleotides) under Orcula dolium. RNAcentral describes it as "partial 16S ribosomal RNA". The record is from RNAcentral. Lineage: Eukaryota; Metazoa; Mollusca; Gastropoda; Stylommatophora; Orculidae.